CUUGGACAGUGAUGGGCAGCUGGACAUCAACAAAGACUCGUACUUUCCGUUUGGUCUUGGAAAAAGGCGAUGUCCAGGUGAAGGAUUUGCUAAGAAGGUGAUGUUUCUUUUUAUUACCGUCAUAUACUAACGUUACGGAUUUGAAGCAGCGGAUGGCGAAACGCUUCCUGACGUCGCUGAUGGCGUGAUUUACGCCGGAGUUCACAAUUCACCUCCAUACAAACUCACAAUAGUGCCACGAUAAAAAAAAAAAUCGAAUUCAUCUAAGCUGACUAUGUUGGCUAUCAUCAAUAAAUAUAAUUAUAAGUGGAGAAGGACAGAUUUUAUUGUUGUUGAGGUAUAGUUAGGCCUACAUAGCAGCUUAGCUCAGUCGGCUAAUCUGGCGGUAGCCACUGUGUGUGCGCU
Molecule: unclassified non-coding RNA, 405 nt
Filed under: Anneissia japonica
Lineage: Eukaryota; Metazoa; Echinodermata; Crinoidea; Comatulida; Comatulidae
Description: cytochrome P450 1B1-like, transcript variant X1
Source: RNAcentral